GGGCAGAGACGCACUGCCUUUAGACCCGAUCGGUACAGAAGCGUCAGGUCGGUGUUGCGAUAUUAGAUCGCUUGGUUUUAUUUAUUAUUUUUCUGAUUUUGAUUCGGUUGCAUUGGUUACACUAGUGAGACAUUAGAUUGCAGCAUAAUACUCUCGAACGAGGUGUGGCUCGGAGUGCAGUACAAUCAAUAACACAAGUGCUUUGUUUAACCUGUUAAUGUAAACGGAUUUGUGUUGUUCAGUUCUCAUCGAUUAGCAGAUAAUGGCAGCCAUGGUGAUCGCAGCCAUUGUGUUCAGCGGUGCAGCCGCAAGUUCGUUGUUUUCCGCUCAAGGUCACACCGGAAAUGGGUCCAUUAUUCACUCUUCCGGAAACUUCGAAGUGAUGGAUCUUAUGGUGAAAAAGUUUUUUCUUGGUUGUGAUUGGUCUAUUCUACAUCAUUCAACUGGUCCGAUUUCUGGCGAUUCCUUUGCGCGAACAGCUCGAUGACACGGAGGAGACGCGACGCGCUAAGCGGCUUUGCCAGAUACUGCUGAGAGCAUUCCUGGCGGCUGCUUAGCUCUGCAUGGCUGCAAGGUCACACCGAUGGCACAAACACUUGUCCCAUUAUUCCACAGUGAUAGAAUAAAAAGUCAGAAAAAUCUCUAGAAUAAUUAGACUACAUCUUUUAGAUGUUUCUCGUUUUUCAUUGAUCAGCGAUAUUUUUUUUUAUAAUAUUAACCUCAACUACUAAACCUCAAAUAAGCAUUUGAUAUUAUAUUUUGUCAACUUGUGAUAAAAACAUUCAUAUAGCAUAUUGAAAAUGUGUGUAGUAAACUCAUAUUUGUUUUGUUAUUGCUGUAACAGAAGUAAACGCUUGUAUGGUUAGGAUUCAAUAAUGUCGGAAAUCAUUCCAUUUUCAAGAGAGAAUCCCAUUAACAUGAUCAAAUUAUAGAAGUGUGUACGAGCAAUUUAUCGAGUAAUUUAGCGGGUAAAACCUGAUGUACACAGAAGCACUGUUUACAUGUUCACUUUGGAAUCGCAAAUUACACGCCUAGGAUUAGGAUCUGCAUUGUGAUUUUUGUGUAUGCUCUACGCAUUACCAUAUAUCGUCUCCAUUCGGUCGUACGGUUGACGAUUAGUAUUACUAAAACAAAUUGUUCCAAGGUGAAGUGGUGAAGCCGAUCGAAAUAAAAAGGUGGCGAUGUGAUAUCUGUA
Molecule: long non-coding RNA, 1195 nt
Organism: Wyeomyia smithii (pitcher-plant mosquito)
Lineage: Eukaryota; Metazoa; Arthropoda; Insecta; Diptera; Culicidae
Exons: 3
Source: RefSeq, a predicted model, not a curated record